UACAGAGGGGGCAAGCGUUGUUCGGAAUUACUGGGCGUAAAGGGCGCGUAGGCGGCCUCUUAAGUCGAACGUGAAAUCCCCGGGCUUAACCCGGGAACUGCGUCCGAUACUGGGGGGCUUGAAUUCGGGAGAGGGAUGCGGAAUUCCAGGUGUAGCGGUGAAAUGCGUAGAUAUCUGGAGGAACACCGGUGGCGAAGGCGGCAUCCUGGCCCGAUACUGACGCUGAGGCACGAAAGCGUGGGGAGCAAACAGG
Molecule: ribosomal RNA, 253 nt
Filed under: uncultured bacterium
Lineage: Bacteria
Description: partial 16S ribosomal RNA
Rfam family: Bacterial small subunit ribosomal RNA
Source: RNAcentral